GGACCAGACUCCUACGGGAGGCAGCAGUGAGGAAUAUUGGUCAAUGGUCGGGAGACUGAACCAGCCAAGCCGCGUGAGGGAGGAAGGUACAGAGUAUCGUAAACCUCUUUUGUCAGGGAACAAAGACUGGGACGCGUCCCCGGAUGAGUGUACCUGAAGAAAAAGCAUCGGCUAACUCCGUGCCAGCAGCCGCGGUAAUACGGAGGAUGCGAGCGUUAUCCGGAUUUAUUGGGUUUAAAGGGUGCGUAGGCGGUUUGAUAAGUUAGAGGUGAAAUGUCGGGGCUCAACCCCGAAACUGCCUCUAAUACUGUUGGACUAGAGAAUAGUUGCGGUAGGCGGAAUGUAUGGUGUAGCGGUGAAAUGCUUAGAGAUCAUACAGAACACCGAUUGCGAAGGCAGCUUACCAAACUAUAUCUGACGUUGAGGCACGAAAGCGUGGGUAUCGAACAGGAUUAGAUACCCCCGUA
RNAcentral lists this ribosomal RNA (467 nucleotides) under uncultured bacterium. RNAcentral's name for it is "bacterial SSU rRNA". It matches the Rfam family "Bacterial small subunit ribosomal RNA", at positions 328 to 792 of the family's 1533-position model. The record is from RNAcentral.